GAUGAAGAACGCAGCGAAAUGCGAUACGUAGUGUGAAUUGCAGAAUUCCGUGAACCAUCAAAUCUUUGAACGCAUAUUGCGCUCGAGGCUUCGGCCGAGAGCAUGUCUGCCUCAGCGUCGGUAUUACCCCUCGCUUCUCAACCCCUGGUUGAUGCCUGCCUGCCUUUGCAGUUGGCUAGAAGCGGAUCUGGCUUUCCCAAUUGCCUUUGGUAGUUGGGUCAGCUGAAGCACAGAGGCUUGAGCAAGGACCCUUAUUGGGCUUCAACUGGAUAGGUAGAACUGGUCUUAGGACCAACUACACGAAGUUGUUGGUUGUGGUCUGUGUCUGGAGGCCAGCAGGAAACCUUUAUACCUUCGACCUGAGCUCAGGCAAGAUUACCCGCUGAACUUAAGCAUAUCAAUAAGCGGAGGA
This 412-nucleotide unclassified non-coding RNA is filed under the name soil metagenome. RNAcentral describes it as "partial contains 5.8S ribosomal RNA, internal transcribed spacer 2, and large subunit ribosomal RNA". The stretch from base 1 to 120 matches the Rfam family "5.8S ribosomal RNA", at positions 35 to 154 of the family's 154-position model. The record is from RNAcentral.